RNA transcript from Zingiber officinale, 1829 nucleotides. It is a transcript of the gene named phenylacetaldehyde reductase-like, with no coding region annotated. NCBI's taxonomy places the organism in Eukaryota, Viridiplantae, Streptophyta, Magnoliopsida, Zingiberales, Zingiberaceae. The transcript has 6 exons. The record is from RefSeq and is a predicted model, not a curated record.
GUCCACUUACCAAAUCGAUGUCAAAAUAACAGCGAGUGCUCCGCCCCUUGCUCCGCCGCAUAUUGCAAUCAUGCUUCGCUUGUUCAGUCCAUUUGAUAGUGUCGCCUCACGGCGUUCACCGUUGCAUCUCUCUUGUUCCGAUCCAAUCGCCGCCCCCUUCCCUAAGCGAGCGGCAGCGAGAGCGACGGCGGUCGUCGCCAUGAGCAGCGGCAAGGUCGUGUGCGUCACCGGAGCCUCCGGUUACAUUGCUUCCUGGCUUGUCAAGUUCCUUCUGCAGCGUGGAUACACCGUACGCGCCACCGUCCGCGACCCUGCUGAUACUAAGAAGACUGAACAUUUGCGUUCUUUGGAUGGGGCGACUGAGAGGCUUCAUUUAUUUCAAGCCAACUUGCUCGAGGAGGGCUCCUUUGAUGCUGGAACUGAAGGUUGCGAUGGUGUUUUUCACACUGCAUCUCCUUAUUAUCAUGGAAUCACUGAUCCACAGGCUGAGUUAAUUGAUCCAGCAUUGAAAGGGACACUCAACGUAUUGGCUUCUUGCAAGAAGUUUUCUAUUGAAAGGGUAGUUGUGACAUCAUCAAUGGCUGCUGUUGCAUACAAUGGUAAACCACGAACUCCUGAUGUGGUAGUCAAUGAGAGAUGGUUUUCAAGUCCUGGGUUUUGUGAACAGGAGAAGCUAUGGUAUGUUCUCUCAAAAACCUUGGCCGAGGAUGCUGCUUGGAAGUUUGCUAAGGAGAAUGCCAUGAAUAUUGUCACAAUAAAUCCUGCAAUGGUUAUAGGCCCUCUUCUCCAACCAACACUGAACACAAGCUGCGCAGCAAUCCUUAACCUGAUAAAUGGUUCGCCUACAUAUUGGAAUUCCUCGAUUGGGUGGGUAAAUGUUAAAGAUGUAGCCAUGGCACACAUUCUGGCAUUUGAAAUUCCCACAGCCUCUGGAAGAUAUUGUCUAGUUGAAAGAGUUGCUCACUAUUCAGAGGUUGUAAAGACUAUACGCAAACUUUAUCCUUCCCUUCAGCUACCUGAAAAGUAAGUCACCAAGGGUCUGUUUACUUGAAUGGACAAUCAAGCGACAGGCGAUACAUUAUACCAAGUCUCCAAGGAUAAGUAUAGAAGUUUAGGACUUGAUUACAUUCCUAUCGAAACAAGCAUUAAGGAAACCAUUGAGAGCUUGAAGGAGAAAAACUUCGUCAAGUUCUGAAGUUCUUCAACAGGCAAAAUGAAUUGCACUUCCAAGUUGGUGGGAAAACGUAACUGGACUUCAUCUUCUUCAAAGACAGACAGAAUAAAUCACUAUUAAAAAUAAUGGGAAAUGGAGAAUUUUGUGGUGUAGAUAAAAAAAGCCUUUUAAAUUAUUAUUCUUGUAAUGCUUAUUCAGCAAGCUUUUACUUUAUUUCUUUCCUAGAACACAAAGUAUAUGCAUUCCAAUAGUUUUGUUGUGAGCUUGGGGCUGUAACUUCUCUCUUAUAUAGGAUUAAGUCUAUCCUAUUUUGUCCGUGUCACACAGACAAUGACCAACAAUGUAUCUCAGACAGUUCAGUAAAUGCAAGUAAAGACAGCUUCUCUACAACAGUGUGAUGAGCAUCUGAUGGAGCUGCCAAUCUCUCUUGCAACAUACAGCUUUCGAUCCCUCCGCAAUGGUAAUAUCUUCUUCUCUAAAGCUGGGUUUCGGAAUUUUCUCCCAUUUGUGUUGACACUUACUUUGAGUUGGAUUCCUGCGAACUACAAUUUUCGUAAUUGUAUCAAUGCAUGUCGAUGCAUUUUAUAUAUUGGCACUCUUGUAGCUGUUUUGGUUGUGUUAUAAUCUUUAUUGAUAGAGAUUGUUAACAGUGUAA